This is a long non-coding RNA of Phragmites australis (common reed), 841 nucleotides long. RefSeq lists it as uncharacterized. The transcript is spliced from 4 exons. The record is from RefSeq and is a predicted model, not a curated record. NCBI's taxonomy places the organism in Eukaryota, Viridiplantae, Streptophyta, Magnoliopsida, Poales, Poaceae.
UUGUGUAAUGCAUCUUUGUAUGGUACAUACAAGUAUACGACUGGACAUCCUCACAACUUUUAUUCUAUUUGGUCACGAUCUUUUAUGCUGACCAUGGUUAGCUGAAGGAAAAUGAUAAAUGAGUAGGAAAUGUUUUAUUGACUUACAUGUUUUCGCGGGUCACAGAUUUAUGGACCUCUUCCAUUCAUCAUUUGUUCAUUAUGUUGUGGUUUAUUUGUGCCAUGAGUUUGUCAAAACAUCAGCAGUGUCGGUUACUACUGCUCUUGCAGAUACACAAAUACAAGAUGGACAACAUCCACCAUGUGGGAUUCAUCGACCCACAUAAAGUAAACCCGAUAACGAUCCGAACCAAACCAAAAGAAUCCAAGGACUAUGCAUUGGAGUGUAUUCUAGAGCUACAAUUGAAGAAAUACAUACUUUUACCCUACCAAUUUGGGUUUCACUGGACCCUCCUUAUCAAUCAGCUAGACAUUUGCAAGAUCAUUGUCCUGGACUCUCAAAAUAAUCCAAAAGAAACCUAUCAACCUGUCAUUGACUUGCUACAAAGCUCCUCAAGUUAGCCCUAGAUGGACUCUUGCCUAUUGAAAUCAAUGCACUUCUAGAACAACUUGUCGGGUUCAUCAGUGACCAAGUAAUCAAUCCAAUUGGCGAACUACGAUGAAAUUGCCUGGUCAUUCUUGUUACCUUCAUCUAACAAGAAAAGACAUAGUACAAACCCUUCGAUUAGUAAGAAAUUUUAAACUUCUUAUCAUUGUUGUGAUAAAACUUGACACGUAUGUAGUGUAUAUAUACUGUGAUGAGACUUGAGGUUUUAUGACUUAAAUUUAUGUGUACUUGUGUA